RNAcentral lists this transfer RNA (76 nucleotides) under Klebsiella pneumoniae. RNAcentral describes it as "tRNA-Lys". It matches the Rfam family "tRNA". Rfam says of the family: Transfer RNA (tRNA) molecules are approximately 80 nucleotides in length. Their secondary structure includes four short double-helical elements and three loops (D, anti-codon, and T loops). Further hydrogen bonds mediate the characteristic L-shaped molecular structure. tRNAs have two regions of fundamental functional importance: the anti-codon, which is responsible for specific mRNA codon recognition, and the 3' end, to which the tRNAs corresponding amino acid is attached (by aminoacyl-tRNA synthetases). tRNAs cope with the degeneracy of the genetic code in two manners: having more than one tRNA (with a specific anti-codon) for a particular amino acid; and 'wobble' base-pairing, i.e. permitting non-standard base-pairing at the 3rd anti-codon position. The record is from RNAcentral. Lineage: Bacteria; Pseudomonadati; Pseudomonadota; Gammaproteobacteria; Enterobacterales; Enterobacteriaceae.
GGGUCGUUAGCUCAGUUGGUAGAGCAGUUGACUUUUAAUCAAUUGGUCGCAGGUUCGAAUCCGACCCCCCCCCUCA